RNAcentral lists this transfer RNA (66 nucleotides) under Dipodomys ordii (Ord's kangaroo rat). It matches the Rfam family "tRNA". From Rfam's summary of the family: Transfer RNA (tRNA) molecules are approximately 80 nucleotides in length. Their secondary structure includes four short double-helical elements and three loops (D, anti-codon, and T loops). Lineage: Eukaryota; Metazoa; Chordata; Mammalia; Rodentia; Heteromyidae. The record is from Rfam by way of RNAcentral.
GUGGCUCAGUGGUAGAGUGCUUGCCUUGUAUGCAUGAGGUCUUGGGUUCGAUUCCUCAGUAACACA